UAUACAUGCAAGUCGAGCGGACAGAAGGGAGCUUGCUCCCGGAUGUUAGCGGCGGACGGGUGAGUAACACGUGGGUAACCUGCCUGUAAGACUGGGAUAACUCCGGGAAACCGGAGCUAAUACCGGAUAGUUCCUUGAACCGCAUGGUUCAAGGAUGAAAGACGGUUUCGGCUGUCACUUGCAGAUGGACCCGCGGCGCAUUAGCUAGUUGGUGGGGUAAUGGCUCACCAAGGCGACGAUGCGUAGCCGACCUGAGAGGGUGAUCGGCCACACUGGGACUGAGACACGGCCCAGACUCCUACGGGAGGCAGCAGUAGGGAAUCUUCCGCAAUGGACGAAAGUCUGACGGAGCAACGCCGCGUGAGUGAUGAAGGUUUUCGGAUCGUAAAGCUCUGUUGUUAGGGAAGAACAAGUGCGAGAGUAACUGCUCGCACCUUGACGGUACCUAACCAGAAAGCCACGGCUAACUACGUGCCAGCAGCCGCGGUAAUACGUAGGUGGCAAGCGUUGUCCGGAAUUAUUGGGCGUAAAGGGCUCGCAGGCGGUUUCUUAAGUCUGAUGUGAAAGCCCCCGGCUCAACCGGGGAGGGUCAUUGGAAACUGGGAAACUUGAGUGCAGAAGAGGAGAGUGGAAUUCCACGUGUAGCGGUGAAAUGCGUAGAGAUGUGGAGGAACACCAGUGGCGAAGGCGACUCUCUGGUCUGUAACUGACGCUGAGGAGCGAAAGCGUGGGGAGCGAACAGGAUUAGAUACCCUGGUAGUCCACGCCGUAAACGAUGAGUGCUAAGUGUUAGGGGGUUUCCGCCCCUUAGUGCUGCAGCUAACGCAUUAAGCACUCCGCCUGGGGAGUACGGUCGCAAGACUGAAACUCAAAGGAAUUGACGGGGGCCCGCACAAGCGGUGGAACAUGUGGUUUAAUUCAAGCAACGCAAGAACCUUACCAGGUCUUGACAUCCUCUGACAACCCUAGAGAUAGGGCUUUCCCUUCGGGGACAGAAUGACAGGUGGUGCAUGGUUGUCCUC
RNAcentral lists this ribosomal RNA (1022 nucleotides) under Bacillus pumilus. RNAcentral's name for it is "bacterial SSU rRNA". It matches the Rfam family "Bacterial small subunit ribosomal RNA", at positions 50 to 1056 of the family's 1533-position model. Lineage: Bacteria; Bacillati; Bacillota; Bacilli; Caryophanales; Bacillaceae. The record is from RNAcentral.